RNAcentral lists this ribosomal RNA (857 nucleotides) under uncultured organism. Its description in RNAcentral is "bacterial SSU rRNA". It matches the Rfam family "Bacterial small subunit ribosomal RNA", at positions 470 to 1326 of the family's 1533-position model. The record is from RNAcentral.
UGACUGUACUUUAUGAAUAAGGUCCGGCUAACUACGUGCCAGCAGCCGCGGUAAUACGUAGGGACCGAGCGUUGUUCGGAAUUAUUGGGCGUAAAGGGUAUGUAGGCGGUCUAUUAAGUUAGAUGUGAAAAAUCUGGGCUCAACCGAGAUCUUGCGUCUAAUACUGAUAGGCUAGAGUCUCUGAGAGGAAGGCGGAAUUCCUGGUGUAGGGGUGAAAUCUAUAGAUAUCAGGAAGAACACCGGUUGCGAAGGCGGCCUUCUGGCAGAGGACUGACGCUGAGGUACGAAAGUUAGGGUAGCAAACAGGAUUAGAGACCCUGGUAGUCCUAACCGUAAACGUUGUAUACUAGGUGGUUGAAGUAUUGAUCCUUUGACUGCCGCAGCAAACGCAUUAAGUAUACCGCCUGGGGAGUAUGCCGGCAACGGUGAAACUCAAAGGAAUUGACGGGGCCCCGCACAGGCAGUGGAGCAUGUUGCUUAAUUCGAUGAUACGCGAGUAACCUUACCAGGUCUUGACAUAUACCUGUCUGGUGUAGAAAUACAUCAUUGCUUCGGCACGGGUAUACAGGUGCUGCAUGGUUGUCGUCAGCUCGUGCCGUGAGGUGUUGGGUUAAGUCCCGCAACGAGCGCAACCCUUAUUCUUUGUUGCUAACAGGUUAAGCUGAGCACUCUAAGGAGACUGCCGGUGACAAACCGGAGGAAGGUGGGGACGACGUCAAAUCAUCACGGCCCUUAUGACCUGGGCUGCAAACGUGCUACAAUGGGUGGUACAAAGAGUUGCGAGACCGCGAGGUGGAGCUAAUCUCAAAAAACUAUCCUCAGUUCGGAUUGGAGUCUGAAACCCGACUCUAUGAAGU